UACGUAGGGUGCAAGUGUUAAUCGGAAUUACUGGGCGUAAAGCGUGCGCAGGCGGUUUUGGAAGUCUGACGUGAAAUCCCCGGGUUUAACCGAGGAACGACGCAUGAUACUGGCAAGCUAGAGUACCAAAGAGGGGGAUGGAAUUCCUGGUGUAGCGGUGAAAUGCGCAGAUAUCAGGAAGAACACCCGUGGCUAAGGCGGUUCUCUAGUACGGUACUGACGCUGAGACGCGAAAGCGUGGGGAGCGAACAGG
RNAcentral lists this ribosomal RNA (253 nucleotides) under uncultured bacterium. Its description in RNAcentral is "partial 16S ribosomal RNA". It matches the Rfam family "Bacterial small subunit ribosomal RNA", at positions 524 to 776 of the family's 1533-position model. The record is from RNAcentral.